CGCGGUGUGGAGCAGUUGGCAUCUCGUCGGGCUCAUAACCCGAAGGUCGUAGGUUCAAGUCCUGCCUCCGCAACCA
Molecule: transfer RNA, 76 nt
Filed under: Clostridioides difficile
Lineage: Bacteria; Bacillati; Bacillota; Clostridia; Peptostreptococcales; Peptostreptococcaceae
Description: tRNA-Met
Rfam family: tRNA
About the family: Transfer RNA (tRNA) molecules are approximately 80 nucleotides in length. Their secondary structure includes four short double-helical elements and three loops (D, anti-codon, and T loops). Further hydrogen bonds mediate the characteristic L-shaped molecular structure. tRNAs have two regions of fundamental functional importance: the anti-codon, which is responsible for specific mRNA codon recognition, and the 3' end, to which the tRNAs corresponding amino acid is attached (by aminoacyl-tRNA synthetases). tRNAs cope with the degeneracy of the genetic code in two manners: having more than one tRNA (with a specific anti-codon) for a particular amino acid; and 'wobble' base-pairing, i.e. permitting non-standard base-pairing at the 3rd anti-codon position.
Source: RNAcentral